UACGUAGGUGGCAAGCGUUGUCCGGAUUUAUUGGGUUUAAAGGGUGCGUAGGUGGCCCUGUAAGUCAGUGGUGAAAUAUCCCAGCUUAACUGAGAGGGUGCCAUUGAUACUGCAGGGCUUGAGUACAGAUGAGGUAGGCGGAAUUGACGGUGUAGCGGUGAAAUGCAUAGAUACAAUCAAGAACUCCGAUUGCGUAGGCAGCUAACUAGGCUGUAACUGACGCUGAGGCACGAAAGCGUGGGGAGCGAACAGG
This 253-nucleotide ribosomal RNA is filed under the name uncultured bacterium. RNAcentral describes it as "partial 16S ribosomal RNA". It matches the Rfam family "Bacterial small subunit ribosomal RNA", at positions 524 to 776 of the family's 1533-position model. The record is from RNAcentral.